CCAAUAGCGUAUAUUAAAGUUGUUGCAGUUAAAAAGCUCGUAGUUGAAUUUCGGGACCAAUAUGUCGGUCGUGCUUCGGUACGUACUUGCAUUAUUGGUUUCUCCCUUCUGAAGAACCAUGAUGUCAUUAAUUUGGUGUCUUGGGGAAUCAGGACUGUUACUUUGAAAAAAUUAGAGUGUUUAAAGCAGGCUCACGCUUGAAUACAUUAGCAUGGAAUAAUGAAAUAGGACGUUUGAUUCUAUUUUGUUGGUUUCUAGGAUCGACGUAAUGAUUAAUAGGGAUAGUUGGGGGCAUUAGUAUUCAAUUGUCAGAGGUGAAAUUCUUGGAUUUAUUGAAGACUAACUACUGCGAAAGCAUUUGCCAAGGAUGUUUUCAUUAAUCAAGAACGAAAGUUAGGGCAUCGAAGACGAUCAGAUACCGUCGUAGUCUUAACCAUAAACUAUGCCGACUAGGGAUCGGAUGAUGUUAAUUUUUUAAUGACUCAUUCGGCGCCUUACG
This 499-nucleotide ribosomal RNA is filed under the name uncultured Glomeromycotina. RNAcentral's name for it is "partial small subunit ribosomal RNA". It matches the Rfam family "Eukaryotic small subunit ribosomal RNA", at positions 591 to 1092 of the family's 1831-position model. Lineage: Eukaryota; Fungi; Glomeromycota. The record is from RNAcentral.